AUUGAACGCUGGCGGCAUGCCUUACACAUGCAAGUCGAACGGUAACGGGCCUUCGGGUGCCGACGAGUGGCGAACGGGUGAGUAAUACAUCGGAACGUGCCCGAUCGUGGGGGAUAACGAGGCGAAAGCUUUGCUAAUACCGCAUACGAUCUACGGAUGAAAGCAGGGGACCGCAAGGCCUUGCGCGGACUGAGCGGCCGAUGGCAGAUUAGGUAGUUGGUGGGAUAAAAGCUUACCAAGCCGACGAUCUGUAGCUGGUCUGAGAGGAUGAUCAGCCACACUGGGACUGAGACACGGCCCAGACUCCUACGGGAGGCAGCAGUGGGGAAUUUUGGACAAUGGGCGCAAGCCUGAUCCAGCCAUGCCGCGUGCAGGAUGAAGGCCUUCGGGUUGUAAACUGCUUUUGUACGGAACGAAAAGCCUUCUUUUAAUACAGGAGGGUCAUGACGGUACCGUAGGAAUAAGCACCGGCUAACUACGUG
Molecule: ribosomal RNA, 482 nt
Filed under: uncultured bacterium
Lineage: Bacteria
Description: partial 16S ribosomal RNA
Rfam family: Bacterial small subunit ribosomal RNA
Source: RNAcentral